CACUUGCCACAAGAAGAGACUAUUCACAGAGCUAGCAUGUGCUUGCUUUCAGUCUUGGGAGGUGUGUUUUGCUGUUCUGUGAGCCAAGA
Molecule: small nucleolar RNA, 89 nt
Organism: Sorex araneus (European shrew)
Lineage: Eukaryota; Metazoa; Chordata; Mammalia; Eulipotyphla; Soricidae
Gene: SNORA75
Rfam family: Small nucleolar RNA SNORA75
About the family: U23 belongs to the H/ACA class of snoRNAs. snoRNAs bind a number of proteins (including dyskerin, Gar1p and Nop10p in the case of the H/ACA class) to form snoRNP complexes.
Source: Ensembl